Molecule: non-coding RNA, 597 nt
Organism: Pelobates cultripes (western spadefoot toad)
Lineage: Eukaryota; Metazoa; Chordata; Amphibia; Anura; Pelobatidae
Source: the annotation of a GenBank genome assembly
CACUUACAAGAUCAAUGGUAAUAAAAAGCCCAUCUGCAAAAUCUCUGAAGUCACUGGAUCAAUGGUAAAGUGCAAAUGCUAAACCAAAUAGAAUAAUUAAAAAAGUAUAUGUAACAAACCCAAAGCGUUUCGUCUCAUAUGAGACUUCUUCAGAGGUAUAGAAAAAAAAAAAAAUCAAUAUGUCCAUAAAUCAAGUCAGUAUAAUGUCUUAGAUGCAAAACGAGUCUUCUAACCCCUUAAGGACACAUGACAUGGGUUAAAUAUGUUGAAGUCCAUCCCAGGGUUCAAUUCCACCAGCUGGAUCCAUUCACGAUCUUUGACUUUGUGUAGUUAAUGGACCGCACAUGGGUUCCACCUCCUUCCAUGUAUUUUUCUUUACGUUCAUGCAUCAUCACGAAGACAGACACAUCAGUGGAACGUACCCACGGACCUCACCUCUUCCGGGAUAAAAUUGGAAUGCAGAUGCGCUCCAGAUCGCAUUCGUUGCGCUUAAGAUUCAUAAAAAUUAAGCCAGUUCGUCAUACAAAAAAAAAGAGAAGAGAAAAAGGCAAUUAAAAAAGGGGGGAGUGUGAAUCGUUCAUUUACAAAGAAUCUGUA